This 452-nucleotide small RNA is filed under the name Malus domestica (apple). RNAcentral's name for it is "sRNA MD14G0192000". The record is from RNAcentral. Lineage: Eukaryota; Viridiplantae; Streptophyta; Magnoliopsida; Rosales; Rosaceae.
GAAUCUCUCUCUCUCUGUCACUCUUCUUCUCCGUUCGAACAAACCAACCACAAAACAACCUUAAACUUCCACCAACGACGGAGUUAAGACCACCAUCGAACUCCUGGAGACUCCACGAUCACGUAGACACCAAUUUCAGGACAAUCCAAGCUCACAGUGAGCUUAGUGAGGUUCCAAGGAAGCUCGGAGUGCUUCGUUGGAAGUUUUUGGACGUAAGAACACGGAGAUCGAUAAGUUCAAAGUUUGGCCGGAGCUUUCGAGGCAUUUUCCGGCGAAUCCCCGGCGAGUUAGGCGUCGAGUUUCCGGCGACCUCCGAGGCUUUCGAGGCAGUUUCCGGCCAAACUACGGCGAACUAGGUGUUGGGAAAGGCGGCGAUCGUCGUGACGCCUUGAUGUGUGGUGCUAGGGAGUUGUUGGACGAACUCCAGGUAAGAAUUGAUUUAUGAUGCAUAU